GACGAACGCUGGCGGCGUGCCUAAUACAUGCAAGUAGAACGCUGAAGGAGGAGCUUGCUUCUCUGGAUGAGUUGCGAACGGGUGAGUAACGCGUAGGUAACCUGCCUGGUAGCGGGGGAUAACUAUUGGAAACGAUAGCUAAUACCGCAUAAUAGUAGAUGUUGCAUGACAUUUGCCUAAAAGGUGCAAUUGCAUCACUACCAGAUGGACCUGCGUUGUAUUAGCUAGUUGGUGGGGUAACGGCUCACCAAGGCGACGAUACAUAGCCGACCUGAGAGGGUGAUCGGCCACACUGGGACGGAGACACGGCCCAGACUCCUACGGGAGGCAGCAGGAGGGAAUCUUCGGCAAUGGACGGAAGUCUGACCGAGCAACGCCGCGGGAGUGAAGAAGGGUGUCGGAUCGGAAAGCUCUGUUGUAAGAGAAGAACGAGUGUGAGAGUGGAAAGUUCACACUGUGACGGUAUCUUACCAGAAAGGGACGGCUAACUACGUG
Molecule: ribosomal RNA, 495 nt
Filed under: uncultured bacterium
Lineage: Bacteria
Description: partial 16S ribosomal RNA
Rfam family: Bacterial small subunit ribosomal RNA
Source: RNAcentral